AUGGAGAAAGAGAGCCUCAAAAGGACCCACUGUGGAAAGUUUUCCAUUACCACCCAUGUAAAAACACCGCACCAAGAUUCACCUCUCAGCACUGGAUUACAGAGUAACAAAUGUGAGGACAGUGGCAGUAAGAGUCAGAUCUCCCAGAGAUUCUGCAGCAAAGAACAACCAAAAGAAUUUCAUUAUAGAUAUGACACUCCAGGGCAGGAUGACUUAAAUCACAAUGGACGAUAUACAUCUGCUCAGUCCCUCUUCUUACAUGGAAAUAAAAUGUCUUCAUCUUCUUGUUCAACAUCAAAGUCGACAUGUUCCCAAAGAGUAAACUCAGAAUCCUUUCAAGAUGAGCAAGAUACCACGACAGGAAAGACUUACCUGAUCUGUAACACAGACCCUGCAACACCCUCAGUCCACCUCCGUUUCCUCAGGAUUCCUGGAAUCCAAUCCUUGUGUGACGGGAAUAGCAUGGAAGAAACGGAAUCUAAGAUUUUAAACUCGGCUUUGGAUCAUGCCUUAAAGACAGCAACCACAUUGAAAAAAACCACUGACCAAAUGAUUAAAUCCAUUGGAGAAGACCUCGCCAAAGCACAGCGAUGGAGGCACCAACUAAAACACUGCUAGCGCCAGGCAAGGGACCAAGGGUUAAAAUGUUUGGUCUUCUUCUCCAAAGUAUUUUACUUAAGGCACAAUGUAGGAAAAUGGCCCUCUAGAGAAAACACUAAAACUGUGAGAAUGAACCACACCAAGUGAUUAAAUGAAACAAAACAAAAACAAAAAACAAACAGCCCUCUGGCAUUUAUGUAUUUAUGUGAAAUAAAUCUAUGUUCUUCCUAAUUCACAAUAAAAUAACAACAAUAAAACAAAU
This 862-nucleotide long non-coding RNA is filed under the name Cricetulus griseus (Chinese hamster). RNAcentral describes it as "lncRNA (ENSCGRG00000024918.1)". Lineage: Eukaryota; Metazoa; Chordata; Mammalia; Rodentia; Cricetidae. The record is from RNAcentral.